This 427-nucleotide ribosomal RNA is filed under the name uncultured bacterium. Its description in RNAcentral is "bacterial SSU rRNA". It matches the Rfam family "Bacterial small subunit ribosomal RNA", at positions 355 to 774 of the family's 1533-position model. The record is from RNAcentral.
UAGGGAAUAUUGGGCAAUGGGCGCAAGCCUGAUCCAGCCAUGCCGCGUGAGUGAAGAAGGCCCUCGGGUUGUAAAGCUCUUUUGUCCGGAAAGAAAAGCAUCGGGUUAAUACCCCGGUGUUCUGACGGUACCGGAAGAAUAAGCACCGGCUAACUUCGUGCCAGCAGCCGCGGUAAUACGAAGGGUGCAAGCGUUACUCGGAAUUACUGGGCGUAAAGCGUGCGUAGGUGGUUCGUUAAGUCUGAUGUGAAAGCCCUGGGCUCAACCUGGGAAUGGCAUUGGAAACUGGCGGACUGGAGUGCGGUAGAGGGUAGCGGAAUUCCCGGUGUAGCAGUGAAAUGCGUAGAGAUCGGGAGGAACAUCCGUGGCGAAGGCGGCUACCUGGACCAGCACUGACACUGAGGCACGAAAGCGUGGGGAGCAAACA